GAUGAACGCUGGCGGCGUGCCUAAUACAUGCAAGUCGAACGGACAGACGAUGAGCUUGCGCGUCGCGCGUGAGCGGCUAACGUGUGAGUAACACGUGGAUCACCUACCUAAAAUUCUGGGAUAACUUCGGAAAACCGGAUCUAAUCCGGGAUAAGAUAUUGAACCUCGUGGGUCAUUGGUCAAUUACGGCGGUUGUGUCACUAAUAGGUGGUUCCGCGCCUGAUUAGCUAGUUGGGAAGGUAACGGCUUACCAAGGGGACGAUGCGUAGCCGACCUGAGAGGGUGAUCGGCAACACUGGAACUGAGACACGGUCCAGACUCCUACGGGAGGCAGCAGUCGGGAAUCUUCGGCAAUGGGCGAAAGCAUGACGGAGCAAUGCCGCGUGAGUGAUGAAGGCCUUCGGAUCGUAAAACGCUGUUAUUAGGGAAGAAAAAAUGUGGACGAAAACAUGGACGUCUUGACGGUACCUAAUGAGAAAGCACCGGCUAACUACGUG
RNAcentral lists this ribosomal RNA (497 nucleotides) under uncultured bacterium. Its description in RNAcentral is "partial 16S ribosomal RNA". It matches the Rfam family "Bacterial small subunit ribosomal RNA", at positions 28 to 507 of the family's 1533-position model. The record is from RNAcentral.